Molecule: transfer RNA, 91 nt
Filed under: Clostridium perfringens
Lineage: Bacteria; Bacillati; Bacillota; Clostridia; Eubacteriales; Clostridiaceae
Also listed under: 15 other names
Description: tRNA-Ser
Rfam family: tRNA
About the family: Transfer RNA (tRNA) molecules are approximately 80 nucleotides in length. Their secondary structure includes four short double-helical elements and three loops (D, anti-codon, and T loops). Further hydrogen bonds mediate the characteristic L-shaped molecular structure. tRNAs have two regions of fundamental functional importance: the anti-codon, which is responsible for specific mRNA codon recognition, and the 3' end, to which the tRNAs corresponding amino acid is attached (by aminoacyl-tRNA synthetases). tRNAs cope with the degeneracy of the genetic code in two manners: having more than one tRNA (with a specific anti-codon) for a particular amino acid; and 'wobble' base-pairing, i.e. permitting non-standard base-pairing at the 3rd anti-codon position.
Source: RNAcentral
GGAGAGAUGGUCGAGCUGGCUUAAGGCACCGGUCUUGAAAACCGGCGUACCUUUGCGGGUACCGUGGGUUCAAAUCCCACUCUCUCCGCCA